GACGAACGCUGGCGGCGUGCCUAAUACAUGCAAGUCGAACGCACGAAGUUGAAGAGCUUGCUCUUUAACCAAUUGAGUGGCGGACGGGUGAGUAACACGUGGGUAACCUGCCCAUUAGAGGGGGAUAACAUUCGGAAACGGAUGCUAAUACCGCAUAGUUUCAGGGAUCGCAUGAUUCUUGAAGGAAAGGUGGCUUCGGCUACCACUAAUGGAUGGACCCGCGGCGUAUUAGCUAGUUGGUGAGGUAAUGGCUCACCAAGGCAAUGAUACGUAGCCGACCUGAGAGGGUGAUCGGCCACACUGGGACUGAGACACGGCCCAGACUCCCACGGGAGGCAGCAGUAGGGAAUCUUCCGCAAUGGACGAAAGUCUGACGGAGCAACGCCGCGUGAGUGAAGAAGGUUUUCGGAUCGUAAAACUCUGUUGUUAAAGAAGAACAAGGAUGAGAGUAACUGCUCAUCCCCUGACGGUAUUUAACCAGAAAGCCACGGCUAACUACGUGCCAGCAGCCGCGGUAAUACGUAGGUGGCAAGCGUUGUCCGGAUUUAUUGGGCGUAAAGCGAGCGCAGGCGGUUCUUUAAGUCUGAUGUGAAAGCCCCCGGCUCAACCGGGGAGGGUCAUUGGAAACUGGAGAACUUGAGUGCAGAAGAGGAGAGUGGGAUUCCACGUGUAGCGGUGAAAUGCGUAGAUAUGUGGAGGAACACCAGUGGCGAAGGCGACUCUCUGGUCUGUAACUGACGCUGAGGCUCGAAAGCGUGGGGAGCAAACAGG
This 771-nucleotide ribosomal RNA is filed under the name uncultured Vagococcus sp. RNAcentral's name for it is "bacterial SSU rRNA". It matches the Rfam family "Bacterial small subunit ribosomal RNA", at positions 28 to 776 of the family's 1533-position model. The record is from RNAcentral. Lineage: Bacteria; Bacillati; Bacillota; Bacilli; Lactobacillales; Enterococcaceae.